UACGUAGGGUGCGAGCGUUGUCCGGAAUUAUUGGGCGUAAAGAGCUUGUAGGUGGUUUGUCGCGUCUGCUGUGAAAAUCCGAGGCUCAACCUCGGACUUGCGGUGGGUACGGGCAGACUAGAGUGUGGUAGGGGAGACUGGAAUUCCUGGUGUAGCGGUGAAAUGCGCAGAUAUCAGGAGGAACACCGAUGGCGAAGGCAGGUCUCUGGGCCACUACUGACGCUGAGAAGCGAAAGCGUGGGGAGCGAACAGG
RNAcentral lists this ribosomal RNA (253 nucleotides) under uncultured bacterium. RNAcentral's name for it is "partial 16S ribosomal RNA". It matches the Rfam family "Bacterial small subunit ribosomal RNA", at positions 524 to 776 of the family's 1533-position model. The record is from RNAcentral.